GGGUCAACUGGAUAGAGCACUAGACUGCGAGUCUAGGAGUCAGGAAUUCGAAUCUUCUCGAGC
This 63-nucleotide transfer RNA is filed under the name Pseudomonadota bacterium. RNAcentral describes it as "Proteobacteria bacterium tRNA-Arg". The record is from RNAcentral. RNAcentral also lists the same sequence under 1 other name. Lineage: Bacteria; Pseudomonadati; Pseudomonadota.